UGGUGUGUCCAAUUGGCGCCGGUUAGCACGAGAAAGAAACGACGGGCGCGCUUUGUUAAGCUCGGCCAAAAUCGCGUAAGCGGUUAUCGCGCCAAUUAAGAAGAAGAAUGGACCCAGCGUUUCAUCAUCAUUUGAAUGGUUUCAUGUGCUGGAUGGCCCCCUGAACCUCAUCGCUGGAAAAAGCAAGUGGCGCACUGUUGUAUGUCAGUUUGUGCUGCCAUCUGGUGGCACUACGUUUGGAUCUGUCGGCCGGAGGAUGCAGAAUAAAUUGCCGGUUUAAAUAGCACGCGCAUCUCUUCGGAUCCGACGAAGCACGACCGUUGAAGAUGAUAUCAACCUUGUCUUUGCGCUUCGUCGGGUUCGACAGGGACCUUACGGUAGACCAGAGCUUGCUCACACCAGAGGUGAAGUUGCAGGACUUCAGAUGCUCCACCCAUUUGGUCCGCUUGGUAUGAACGGUGCAGCCCUGUCGAAAUUUUCGUUGUAUACCGAAUUUAGAGUCGAAUGCAAUUUUGCUUUCGAUUGUGUAGCAUAUUGUAGGAAAACUUGUUAAAAUGUAAGUUGUUUGCGAUUAUUUAUGGAUUUAUAGUAACCAAAUAAUAAAUAUAUACUAAUUUUGUUAAUUUUAUGCAGGUCGAAAGUCGUGAGUACCAAACAGCAAUUAGAAAGGCUAGUUUCAUUAAUGGAAGAGAAUCCACAAUUCGCAAAAGGGAUUUGCAAAGUUCAAGCAACAAAAAAUGGGAGGAAUUUACAACGGAGCUGAAUUGCUUGGGACUACCAGUUAGAACGGCAGCAAAAUGGACUCAGGUUAAUAAUGUUUUUUUUUUGUGAUGUUUAUAGAAAUACAUUUUUAUUUUCCCUUGGCUGAUAUGGGCUGAAAUACGUAGAGGAACUGAAAUACAUAUUUUUCUCGAAUGACGAAUAAUUGAAUAAAGAAAAUUUGUAACAAAAAUAAAACAGAAACUUUGGCGUAAAGGUUUCUAUUUAAUACUUUUUAGAUUUUUCUAUAAUAUUCUAAGAAUUUCAAUACUUAUGCUGUAUUUGCUAUAAAAAUGUGCUUUUCUUUGUUGCAGAUCAGCCUCUGUACUACUAAAUUUUAUCCAUCUUUGGCAAAUAUAAUUUUCCAGGGCAUCUAUUAUUUCCGAUAGCACAACAGACACAGUGGGUUGAGCAAGUCCUAGCAUACCUUCAUUACCAAUACUCGAUUGGUUUGAACCCUGAGCAUAAAGUCGCAGAACUGUGGCCCUUAUUAUGAGCAACAUUCGAUCUUCGACUGUAGUCGAAAGUGCUGAUCGAACGAAUUUUCAUUUGGUAUUAUGGUGCUCAUUCGCUGAAGAAUAGAACUAUUGUGAAUUUCGAUCGCUCGACGCAUUUACAAUAGAUAAUUUUUUCUCAGCUGGUACAGCUGUAUUGAAAUUCUUUGUUAACAACAUUUUUAAAAGUUAAAAAGGUUUUGGCAUCAUACAAUGAAAAUAACUUAUAUAAGUGCGAAAAAUCCAGGAGCUACUCAUGAUUCCAUGGCUUUCAACAUGUCGCCAUUGAAAGCGCAUUUAGAGGAGCAACAUCUCAAUGGCCGUCGCAAUACUUGGCUCCUCGGUAUGUAAUAUACACCAAUUGUAUUUCCGUUUUUGAUAAUUUUUGUCUGUCUCAGGUGAUGCUGGAUACGCUCUAAAACCAUACUUAAUGACAAACAACAUGCUAAAGCGAGAAGUAUCAUUGAGAGAACAAUUGGAGUCUUGAAAAACCGGUUUAGAUGUUUGUUCCAGGCAAGAGCUCGCCACUAUUCUCCAAAAAACAGCAACACAAAUUAUUAAUGUGUGUGCAGCUUUGCACAACAUUUGUCUGCUUUACAAUAUUCAAGCUCCGGAUGAAGAGUUAUCCGAUGAGACCCUCAACGAUGAUGCUGGAGAUAUUGAAGUGGAGUCAAAUAACGGAGAAGCAGAAAACAUAAGAAAUGAAAUUCUUAGAAUAUUAUGGAAAAAACUAAAAAGUAUUAAAUAAAAACUUUACGCCAUAGUUUCUUUAUUAUUUUUGUUAUAAAUUUUCCUUAUUCAAAUAUUCGUCAUUCAGCAGCCCAUACGUGCCAAGGGAAAAUAAAAACGUAUUUCUACAAACAUCAGAAAAAAAAAACAUUAUUAACCUUAAUCCAUUUUGCUGCCGUUCUAACUGGUGGUCCUAAUCAAUUCAGCUUCGUUGUAAACUCCUCCCACUUUUUUGGUGCUUGAACUUUUGUGUAAAUCCCUUUUGCGAUUUGUGUAUUCUCUUCCAUUAAUGCAAUCAGCCUUUCUAAUUGCUGUUUGGUACUCACGACUUUCGACCUGCAUAAAAUUAACAAAAUUAGUAUAUAUUUAUUAUUUGGUUACAAUAAAACCUUAAAUAUUGGCAAACUACUUACAUUUUAACUAAUUUUCCUACAAUACGCUACACAAUCGAAAGCAAAAUUGCAUUCGACUCUAAAUUCGGUAAACAACGAAAAUUUCGAUAGGGUUGCACCGCUCAUAAUACCAAAAUGACAUUCGAUUUUCGAUCUUCGACAACCAGCAAAUAUCGAAGAUCGAAUCUAUCUCAUAAUAGGGGCCUGUACCUAGCUUAAAAAUAUUUGGAAUGGAUUUGACUCGGGUGCACUGCUGCAACUGGUUUUCUGUACUGGACAGUAGGUUCAUAAGCGCCUCUUUAGAUAAUCUAAAGUUCUUUAAAAAUCUGUAAGGAAAUUUCUGUAAUAUUAAGUACGUCAACACAUUUUAAAAAUUCUAAACGUACUCAGUGGAAGCCAUUUCUAGGGGGUUGGAUGCGCCCCUCAACUGUUUUCUACUUCUAGCUAGUUCCACUAAUCUUUCAUCGUCCGAUAAAUCGUCGAACCACAACUCCGUUGUACUCAUUUUCACAAAAAAUACUUUUUUUAACUUUUAAAAAUGUUAGCAAAGAAUUUCAACACAAUCGGUUUUUCUUUUAUUUUGAUUUGCUGUAUCAGCCGAGAAAAAAUUAUCUAUUGUAAAUGCGUCGAGCGAUCGAAAUUCACAAUAGUCCUAUUCUUCAACGAAUGAGCACCAUAAUACUAAAUGAAAAUUCGUUCGAGCAGCGCUUUCGACUACAGUCGAAGAUCGAAUGUUGCUCAUAAUAAGGGCCUGACAUUCGCUUUACGAUCUUCGACAACCAGCAAGUAUCGAAGAUCGAAUCCAACUCAUAAUAGGGGCCAUAAUAACGGUCGCCGGCUACAGUUAAGUUCACAUACGCGCAAGAGAAACGAAGGCAAAAAUGCGCGUAUUUCUACCAUUGUCAUAUAGGGUGCUACAGACAAUUUCAUGGAUGACAUUAAGCGUGCUGUGGUGAUGGUGUAAAUAGCUUCAGGUGUUGGACACGGGACGGUCGUUAUGUGCCUGUGCUCGAAUAAGUGCAGCGUUCCGACACCUAUACGAGCAAUUGUACCCACUUUCCGCAAUUUUCACCUACGGCUCAUGGCAUUUGAUCAACGUAAAUUUAUGGAUUAUAUUAGCAGUAUAUGAAAUUUUCAGAUGUAUUAGUUUUAGACCAUAUGAAUACAUUUUCCUAACUCUUAGCCACGCCAAGUAUAUUAAGGUAUACAAACUUUAAGCUAUAAAUAGUAAAUUUGUAAUUUUUGUUGCAAAUAAAGUCCUUUUCA
This is a long non-coding RNA of Anastrepha ludens (Mexican fruit fly), 3640 nucleotides long. RefSeq lists it as uncharacterized. The record is from RefSeq and is a predicted model, not a curated record. NCBI's taxonomy places the organism in Eukaryota, Metazoa, Arthropoda, Insecta, Diptera, Tephritidae. The transcript has 3 exons.